Molecule: ribosomal RNA, 405 nt
Filed under: uncultured bacterium
Lineage: Bacteria
Description: bacterial SSU rRNA
Rfam family: Bacterial small subunit ribosomal RNA
Source: RNAcentral
GGGCCCGCACAAGCGGUGGAGUAUGUGGUUUAAUUCGAUGCAACGCGAAGAACCUUACCAGGGUUUGACAUCCUGCGAAUCUCUUGGAAACAGGAGAGUGCCUUCGGGAACGCAGUGACAGGUGGUGCAUGGCUGUCGUCAGCUCGUGUCGUGAGAUGUUGGGUUAAGUCCCGCAACGAGCGCAACCCACGUCUUUAGUUGCCAGCAUUCAGUUGGGCACUCUAAAGAAACUGCCCGUGAUAAGCGGGAGGAAGGUGUGGAUGACGUCAAGUCCUCAUGGCCCUUACGGGUUGGGCUACACACGUGCUACAAUGGUAGUGACAAUGGGUUAAUCCCCAAAAACUAUCUCAGUUCGGAUUGUCGUCUGCAACUCGACGGCAUGAAGUCGGAAUCGCUAGUAAUCGC